AGAAUCAACGCUGGCGGCGUGCCUAACACAUGCAAGUCGAACGAGAAAGGGUAGCAAUACCUGAGUAAGGUGCGGCAACGGGUGAGUAACACGUGACUAACCUACCCUGGAGUGGGGGAUAACUGAGGGAAACCUUAGCUAAUACCGCAUAACACCUACGGGUCAAAGGAGCAAUUCGCUUCAGGAGGGGGUCGCGGCCGAUUAGUUAGUUGGCGGGGUAAUGGCCCACCAAGACAGUGAUCGGUAU
RNAcentral lists this ribosomal RNA (247 nucleotides) under uncultured bacterium. RNAcentral describes it as "partial small subunit ribosomal RNA". It matches the Rfam family "Bacterial small subunit ribosomal RNA", at positions 26 to 286 of the family's 1533-position model. The record is from RNAcentral.